GGACACGACUCUCGGCAAUGGAUAUCUCGGCUCUCGCAUCGAUGAAGAGCGCAGCGAAAUGCGAUACGUGGUGCGAAUUGCAGAAUCCCGCGAACCAUCGAGUCUUUGAACGCAAGUUGCGCCCGAG
This 127-nucleotide ribosomal RNA is filed under the name Cymbidium concinnum. RNAcentral describes it as "partial 5.8S ribosomal RNA". It matches the Rfam family "5.8S ribosomal RNA", at positions 1 to 121 of the family's 154-position model. From Rfam's summary of the family: 5.8S ribosomal RNA (5.8S rRNA) is a component of the large subunit of the eukaryotic ribosome. It is transcribed by RNA polymerase I as part of the 45S precursor that also contains 18S and 28S rRNA. Lineage: Eukaryota; Viridiplantae; Streptophyta; Magnoliopsida; Asparagales; Orchidaceae. The record is from RNAcentral.